This 257-nucleotide ribosomal RNA is filed under the name uncultured bacterium. RNAcentral describes it as "partial 16S ribosomal RNA". It matches the Rfam family "Bacterial small subunit ribosomal RNA", at positions 524 to 776 of the family's 1533-position model. The record is from RNAcentral.
GACGUAGGGCGCGAGCGUUGUCCGGAUUUAUUGGGCGUAAAGAGCUCGUAGGCGGCUUGUCGCGUCGAAUGUGAAAACCCACGGCUCAACUGUGGGCUUGCAUUCGAUACGGGCAGGCUAGAGUUCGGUAGGGGAGACGUGGAAUUCCUGGAUGUGAGCGGUGAAAUGACGCAGAUAUCAGGAGGAACACCGGUGGCGAAGGCGGGUCUCUGGGCCGAUACUGACGCUGAGGAGCGAAAGCGUGGGGAGCGAACAGG